RNAcentral lists this long non-coding RNA (1333 nucleotides) under Elaeis guineensis (African oil palm). Its description in RNAcentral is "long non-coding RNA (EGUI_LNC035215)". Lineage: Eukaryota; Viridiplantae; Streptophyta; Magnoliopsida; Arecales; Arecaceae. The record is from RNAcentral.
CCUAGGAUUCAAGGGCCUGCAAUCUUCCAUAUACUUUUUGUGGAUGAGUGCAUCCUUCUUGCCAAGGCUACUAUCCGUGAUGCUUUAUGUCUCAAGCUGAUCUUGGAGGCUUCUUGUCAUUAUUUGGAUCAGCAGGUUAAUAUUUCUAAAUCCUACCUGAUUUAUGACCAGUCCAUUAAUUCUAAGGUCAAUCGUAUCAUUUCUUCUAUCUUCCAUAUGUCUUAGAAAUCAAGUGUUUGGAGGUAUCUUGGUGUUCCUAUUUCGGGUACUAGGCUUAAUGAUGUUGAUGUCAUCUUCCUCAUAGAUAAAAUUCUUUUUAAGCUUGUGGGAUGGAAGUGGCGUGCUCUUUUAUUUGUUGGCUGGUUAAUUCUUUUACAAUCUGUUCUUUGUUCCAUACCUCUUUAUGCAAUAUCUUCUGUCCCAAUACCACUUGUUGUGCUCAACUCUAUGGAACAUGAAUUCAAGGCCUUUCUUUAGGGCCACACUCCCCAUCAGCAUCUGUUCCACCCCAUUACUUGGGAGAUUAUCUGUACCCCUAAAGCUAAAGGUGGAUUGGGAUUGUGCUCACUCAAGCUCACUCAACAUGUCUUAUUGUCUAAACUUGCUGCUAAUUUGGUUCUUCAACCUCAUUCUCUAUGGAAUUAGUUUGUCUCAUCAAAAUAUAAAUUUCAGAGCUCUUGGUUGACCUACCAGAAACCUGCUUGUUGUUCACCCAUUUGGCACAAGAUGUGCAAUAAGGGCAAAAAGAUUCAAUAUCAUUUUAUAUGGCUCAUUGCAAAUGACAAUCUAUUAAUGUUUGGAAUGAUCCUUGACUGGCACCCAUCCCUUUGUCUCAAUGGCCCUCUUUCUCUAAUGUUGCAGUGACCUUCGGCAUUAUUCAGUGGCUCAAUUUAUGACUCCUAAUCGCACUUGGGAUUAGGCUGCUCUUAAUCAGAUUUUUCAUGCUGAUAUGAUGACCACCAUUUUAUUAUUGCCUCUAGCGCAGGGAGAGUGAUCUGAUCAGCUUGGUUGGGCUUAUUUUUCAUCUUCCAAAAUCAGUUCGGAGAUAUUUUCUCAGCCUUUCAGCCUGAUUCCACUAUUCAGCAAUCUCAUAAUUAUAUCUGGAGCCUUCAUAUCCCUAUGAGGAUCAAAUGCUUUUGCUGGAAAUUACAACAACAUUGCUUACCUUGCAAGCAUCUCUUAGCUUCCUAUGGCAUUCUCCCAGGUAAUGUUAUUGCUUGCAAUUUGUGCCCGAAUAAUCAAGAAGAUCGUGAGUAUUCUAUUAUUAUUUGCCCUUAUGCCUAAAAGUGUUGGUCGGCAUCGGCCCAUACUAUUACUGCUUUUCAACCACCCU